This 301-nucleotide ribosomal RNA is filed under the name uncultured bacterium. RNAcentral describes it as "partial 16S ribosomal RNA". It matches the Rfam family "Bacterial small subunit ribosomal RNA", at positions 509 to 809 of the family's 1533-position model. The record is from RNAcentral.
CAGUAGCCACGGUAAUACGAAGGGUGCAAGCGUUAAUCGGAAUUACUGGGCGUAAAGCGUGCGUAGGCGGUGAGUUAAGUCUGCUGUGAAAUCCCCGGGCUCAACCUGGGAAUGGCAAUGGAUACUGGCAAGCUAGAGUGUGUCAGAGGAUGGUGGAAUUCCCGGUGUAGCGGUGAAAUGCGUAGAGAUCGGGAGGAACAUCAGUGGCGAAGGCGGCCAUCUGGGACAACACUGACGCUGAGGCACGAAAGCGUGGGGAGCAAACAGGAUUAGAGACCCCCGUAGUCCCUGUCUCUUAUAA